RNAcentral lists this ribosomal RNA (30 nucleotides) under uncultured fungus. RNAcentral describes it as "partial 28S ribosomal RNA". The record is from RNAcentral. Lineage: Eukaryota; Fungi.
CGUCUCAAUCAGUAGACUCCGUGACUAGCA